CAUUGAGAAGCUAAACAGCAUUAACCUUUUAAGUUAAAGAUUGAGGACCAAAAUUCCUCCUCAAUGA
Molecule: transfer RNA, 67 nt
Filed under: Vormela peregusna (marbled polecat)
Lineage: Eukaryota; Metazoa; Chordata; Mammalia; Carnivora; Mustelidae
Description: tRNA-Lys
Rfam family: tRNA
About the family: Transfer RNA (tRNA) molecules are approximately 80 nucleotides in length.
Source: RNAcentral